Molecule: non-coding RNA, 367 nt
Organism: Paramuricea clavata
Lineage: Eukaryota; Metazoa; Cnidaria; Anthozoa; Malacalcyonacea; Plexauridae
Source: the annotation of a GenBank genome assembly
GAAGUGUUGGGAAUUUUGCUUUGAGUAUCACCAACAAAUCACUAGUUGUAUUUUUGAUAUAUAAUAUCUCAAAUCACUCUCGUAUCACAUUUUUUACAAUGGUUUCGCAGUCAAAGUCUCACAAUAACAAAAAUUCCUGUUUUAAAGGAAAACUAUGUAUCACGCUAUCGCGCGUGGAGUUCACGUGUUCUAUUACUAUUUUAACUAUAGACUGAGGUAAAGUCUCCGACACACUCCCCCAUGUAUGUUCUGUCCGAGACAUACAUGCACUCUCAGACUUUAUAACGCAAAUGUAAACACUAAAUAAUGUAAUUAUAGUCAUCAGUUCCAACUUUACUAUCAAGUUUGAACAUCGUGCUAGUCCGAC